AAAUUGUCUGUUUGAUACAAAAUCUGUCUAGAUUCCACAAUUGUCCUUAAUAUGCAGGUGACAUUAGGAAAAUAUACCUGCUUCUUGGUUUGGGGUCAUAUUUAUAUUUCCCAUAUAUUUCGUUUCUAGGGAGUCCAAGUACUCCAAGCAGUAUCAUCAGACUGAAUCCAUGAGUCUGUGGAUUUUUAAGAGACUCCUUUGAACAUUUAGGUGAUCCUUAUCUAGCAGCCUCAUCUUUGAAUUGUUUCCUUCUUUCAGGAGUCUAAACCAUUGGGUAGCCAGGAGUCUGAAGAACUUCUGAUUCUGGAUGGAAGGAGUAUCUAUCAGAGAGAAGAAAAAAGAAAUGAGAACAGAUUUUGCCUCUGAUGUGGGAAUUAUAUACAAGCCUGACCCAGCCUUCACAUAUACCAGGAGGAUAUAUCUCUCCAAGAAAGGUUUCAGAAGUAACUGGGAAGAUCAUUACUAACUGAUACAAAGCCAAGAAGUGAGCAGAAUUGGGAAAACAAAUGUCAACAAUCUUUGAAAGACUUUAGAAUCAAAGAAGUCACAAACCAAGAUUUCAGAGGACUAAAGACCUAUCAAUCUUCUGGCAAGGAGGUGAUGGAAUUAAAAUACAGAAUGAGAUGUACAUUGUUGGACAUGUGUUAUUUAUUUAUUAUGGCAUAUUUAUUAUGGUUUUAUCUCUUUUUUUCAAUCAAUGGGGGCAUAUAAAAGGGAGGGAAAUUAAUAUUUAUUCAUUAGAAGAAAAGACAAAUUAAAUUUUUUAAAUGUGGUGUCCAGACCUGAACAUAGCACUAUAGAUAUGACCUGAAUAGGACUAUUAUGUCCCAUAUUCUAAAUAAUGUAUUUCUGAAUGUACCUAACAUAUGUCACAUUUUUAAAUUCAUAUUGAUCUUGCAGUUCAUCAAGAAUACCAGAAAUUGUUGUCUAGCUAUUUCUCCUUCACAUUGUACUUGUGAAAUUGAAGUGUAAGGUGUGUUCAGGGAAGACUGGUACUUUUGGCAUGAAGGCUGCUGAGCCCUUUUCAGGAUUUCUUUCCACUUUUGGUGUCUGAGUCACUUAAUUCUUACCUGUGACUCUAAGAAGCUGUAGCAUUCAUAGUGGCCACACCCUUUUUUUGGCAGACAGGUUGAAAAUAACUAAAAGGUCUCAAACCCUUCAAUGAUUUGGGUCUAUCCCAAGCAUAUGAAGACUUUUCCUGGUGAAAUAGACAGAUGAGAACAAUUUGUUCCAAUAGCCAUGAGGGCAGCUGAAGCAGAUGCUUUGGAACAUGUAGAGCUUGGUUACACACUGAAGACAAUAAGGUCAUCCACUGCAUCUUGAGCCAACAUAAGUCAUCUUGACUCUGUCCUGCCUCUGGAUGAU
Antechinus flavipes (yellow-footed antechinus) is the source of this 1365-nucleotide long non-coding RNA. RefSeq lists it as uncharacterized. The record is from RefSeq and is a predicted model, not a curated record. Lineage: Eukaryota; Metazoa; Chordata; Mammalia; Dasyuromorphia; Dasyuridae. The transcript has 3 exons.